RNAcentral lists this ribosomal RNA (400 nucleotides) under uncultured bacterium. Its description in RNAcentral is "bacterial SSU rRNA". It matches the Rfam family "Bacterial small subunit ribosomal RNA", at positions 356 to 773 of the family's 1533-position model. The record is from RNAcentral.
GGGGAAUAUUGCACAAUGGGCGCAAGCCUGAUGCAGCGACGCCGCGUGAGUGAAGAAGUAUCUCGGUAUGUAAAGCUCUAUCAGCAGGGAAGAAAAUGACGGUACCUGACUAAGAAGCCCCGGCUAACUACGUGCCAGCAGCCGCGGUAAUACGUAGGGGGCAAGCGUUAUCCGGAUUUACUGGGUGUAAAGGGAGCGUAGACGGCGACGCAAGUCUGGAGUGAAAGCCCGGGGCCCAACCCCGGGACUGCUUUGGAAACUGUGCUGCUGGAGUGCAGGAGAGGUAAGUGGAAUUCCUAGUGUAGCGGUGAAAUGCGUAGAUAUUAGGAGGAACACCAGUGGCGAAGGCGGCUUACUGGACUGUAACUGACGUUGAGGCUCGAAAGCGUGGGGAGCAAAC